Fukomys damarensis (Damara mole-rat) is the source of this 2546-nucleotide long non-coding RNA. RefSeq lists it as uncharacterized. Lineage: Eukaryota; Metazoa; Chordata; Mammalia; Rodentia; Bathyergidae. The transcript is spliced from 3 exons. The record is from RefSeq and is a predicted model, not a curated record.
UCCUUGGGUUUUCCCACCCCCGUGGAGGCUCUGUGGGUGCAGCUUUCAGACCUCUGCACCUCUCCUUUAGCCCUGGUGACAACAAUGCAAUGUCCAAGAUGUCAGCCAGUUUUAAGGAGGAUAGAUGAGAUUGUGGGCGACUUUUAUUUAUUUACUUUUAUAUCUCUUACACAUUUUCUUGCACAUUUUUCAGUAACAAACAAGAGCAGAGGCGGAAGAAGGUGGCGUCAUAAGUGCAGCCUUGGGCAGCUGGUGGUGGCCUGGUGGGUUGCUUAGGGACAACACGCCUCAGUUUCCUCCUCGCUGAAGUGUGGAUAAUAAUGCUACCGACCUCAUUGGUAAAUUCUGAGGCUUCGUUGUAGGCCAAGCUCAGUAAAUUGUAACCACUGUGGCUUUACAUUAACAUUAUACUCAGAAAAAUUCUAAAAGUUCCUGUUAUGGGCUGAAUUGGUCCCCCCACCUCUUAACAUUUAUUUGUUGACGUCAGCCCUCAGGACCCAAGAAUGUGACCGUGUCAGUCAGCUUCCCGUCACUGUAACAAAAUAGCUGAGAUAAUUUACUUAUAAAGGGAAAAGACUUUAUUUUAACUUACAGUGUUAGAAGUUCCAGUUCAGUGUGAAGUGGACCAUUGCUUUGGGCUUCUGGUGGGUGAACAGCUCAACUCACAGCCAGGGAGCUAAAGAGGAAGAGCCCAGGGUCCCACGGUUCCCUUUAGGGCCGUGCCUCCGGUGACCUAAAGACCUGCCCUAGGCUUCACUUCUUAAGGUUUCCAUCACCUCUCAGUGCCACUUUGGGGACCAAGAUUUAAUAUGCAGUCUUUGGGGGAGCAGUCAACAUCUGAUCUUGAGUAGAGACUGUAUUUGAAGCUAGGAUCUUUAAAGAGGUAAUCCAGCUUAAAUGACAUCAUAAAGGUGUGGUCCUAGUCCACCAGGAUGAGUGUCCUUCUAAAAAGAGGUUAGGGCAUGAGGAAUGUGUGCCCACAGAGGAAGGACCCCAUGGAGAGGUGGCCAGAAAGCAGCCACCUCUGAGCCAAGGAGAGAGGCCUUGGGAGAAGCCAAACCUGCCAGCGCCUUAAUCUUGUACAUUCUGCCUGCAGAACUGUGAGAGAGUAAGUUUUUGUUUAUGCCACCAGUAUGGGACACUUUAUCAUGAAAGCCCUGGGAAAGUGAUAUAGUUUUGACAAGAACAAGAACAGGGGUAUCGGUGUGGCUCAUGGCUUAGAUCUCUGCCCUGAGCUCCUGCAGGAGCACCUGAUGCAGCCUGCUCAGCCCUGGAGCUUCCCCACCUUCCCGGGCGCCCAGUGUCAGUAUGAUGUCCUCAAACUCUGCUGCACUCCACACUUGUGCCUCACCAGCCACCCCCUGCCAGCAAUUCUCCCUCAGCUCCAUAUCAAAGAAGUUUGCUUUUUUUUUGCUUUCUGGAGCCUUGACCAGUACUUUCCCUUAUAAGGUACCCUCUUUCUUGAAAGUGCAUCUGAGCUUGGAUGAAGUGGUUUUCCUGUCUCCAAAGGCCAUCAAGAGUUUUGUGCCUGCUCUACCUGGACCACUAAUAUGAUGGUCUCUUAAGUGAUCUGUUGAAUCCAAGGAAAUGUAUUCUGUGCUUCCUGGGUCCCAGGCAUAGCCAGCCCUCUGUCAAGAGCACAGGAAAAGCAGUUGUUGGUGUUGUUAGAGGAAAGUGAGCCGGCUCAGCCUUAGAGCGAAGUACUACAGCUGUGUCACAGCUACAACAGUUUGAACACAUGAGAAUCCGAAAGCCACUGAAAGAGGCGAAGAAAAACCAAGCUUUAUGUAGCCGGCUGGCUUAGAGGAGUUUUAAGCACCCUGAAUUCUGAGCCCAGAGGUGUGAAAGGCAGCCACUGCAUGAUGUAAAAGCGGCAAGAGUCACGGGGGAGCCGUGAGCCCUGCCACUGCCUGUAGCAUGAGCACAGCUCUCCACUUUUUCACCUGAAGUCUUUUUUCUUCAUAUCACACCAGUGGUCACGGCUCCAGUGACCACAUCUCUGAGGAGAACUGGACUGGUAAGAACCCUCCUGAUGGGAUGAGGGACUGAGGGUGCUGUCCCAUCUCAGGGAAGUGAGCUCAGGCAGCCCAUGUGUUGUACUUGGCAUGCGCACUUCUGCUCCUCUCCAGAGACACCACCAUGGCCGCACCUCCUGGAAGCUUCUGUCUCCUGUGGGUCUGGUCUCUCUUGUAAACUUCGUGUCCAGGAUUUGGUCCUCCCUGUACUAAGUCAGUGUGAUGUCUGAGGGUAAAGCCACAGAUCUAGCCAGCACCUCAGCCUGGCCUCUGGCCGCAGGUGGGGUGAGGAGUCGCGUGUCUUUGGGGGUGCUUAGCACUUUACUAUGAAGGACUCUCCUUAGGAGCAACUGGAUGGAAACGCAUAGGGCAAGGUAUAGGAUCGGGAAGGAGUGUGUGCCUUCCAUGCCCUCCCUGUGCAGGCCACAUCCUCAGCCCCAGCUUCUGUCUAAAAAUGUCUGGGCUGGGUUAAGUCUUGAAAAAGAUCAAUCUGGGGAGAAGUGACACCCUAACAGUGGUGCGUCUCCUGAC